CCAGAAGUGAGUGUAGGGUGGAGAUUAAAAAAAAUAAUAAUAAAAUAAAUAAAAAAUGAAGCAAUUAGCUUCAUAUGAGGAUAGGAGUAGAGACAAGAGUUUUAAACUGUGUUUUGUUUUAAAAUAUGACAGACUCAUUGCAUUGACUGUCUGUCUUUCUUAGAUCUCUUGAGGCAGUCAGUAAAGGAAGGGAAAUGAUGGACUGCUGGGAGAAAGAAAUGGAGGAGCACGAGACUCUGCAACAGCUUUGCCACACUCAUCUAGUGUAACUUCUAGUACAUGCCAUCAGCUAGAGGGGUUUUCAAUAUUUAGUUUGAAAGGGACCAUCACAACCUCCUCAGCACAACACAUUAUCCUAUGGGUCUUUGAAGUAAAUUCUGAAUAAACAUACUAGCAAAGCAAACUUGUAAAAAUCCCGUUCCUAGAAUGAUGUGGGUUGUUUUUUCUUUCUGGUCCUCUUGCUGUUAACCGCUGGAAUCUCAACUGAGCUGAGAAGAAUAAGAAGAAGCAAUGCUUCAAGAGCUCCCUCUCUAGACUGAGUGCAUCUCUGAGGAGCAGCAGAUUGAGGGCUUAUGUUUUUUGGCUUACUGGAUUCAAAAGCAGCUUGGGGAUGGAUCUUGGGACAUCAAGAAUUUCUCUUGAGUUCUGGACUUUUGAAUGGUUACUCAAUUCAGCUGACACUCAUGAAUGAGAAAUUCUGGCUCCUGUGGUUGCAGAAAAAAUCCUGAGAAUAGUGCCAGGGCAUGUAAGAGGUCCAGGUCCAGAAACUAAAAGGAAUCAUCAAAACUUACGUAAGGAUUGUUCUUUUGUUGAACUACAGUUUAACUUUGUAGAACUGAGAACUGUGUGGUAUAUUUAAGAUUCCUCAAAAACUUCCUCAAAACUUCCAAAAGAGAAUGGCCUAUUUUUACUUAUAGUUCCAUGUAAAAUACAAAUAAGAUCUAAUAUUUAUCCUGCUGAAAUAUGUGAACUUUUUACAGUGUAUUUUAUGAAAGCAUAUAUGUUUUCUAUUUUGU
RNAcentral lists this long non-coding RNA (1016 nucleotides) under Parus major (Great Tit). Its description in RNAcentral is "lncRNA (ENSPMJG00000000483.1)". Lineage: Eukaryota; Metazoa; Chordata; Aves; Passeriformes; Paridae. The record is from RNAcentral.